CUUUUAACGAGAGUUUGAUCCUGGCUCAGGAUGAACGCUGGCGGCGUGCUUAACACAUGCAAGUCGAGCGAAGCACUUUACUUGGAUUUCUUC
RNAcentral lists this ribosomal RNA (93 nucleotides) under Faecalicatena contorta. RNAcentral's name for it is "partial 16S ribosomal RNA". It matches the Rfam family "Bacterial small subunit ribosomal RNA", at positions 1 to 93 of the family's 1533-position model. Lineage: Bacteria; Bacillati; Bacillota; Clostridia; Lachnospirales; Lachnospiraceae. The record is from RNAcentral.